AAAACUUUCAACAACGGAUCUCUUGGUUCUGGCAUCGAUGAAGAACGCAGCGAAAUGCGAUAAGUAAUGUGAAUUGCAGAAUUCAGUGAAUCAUCGAAUCUUUGAACGCACAUUGCGCCCCUUGGUAUUCCGAGGGGCAUGCCUGUUCGAGCGUCAUUAU
Molecule: ribosomal RNA, 160 nt
Filed under: uncultured Leotiomycetes
Lineage: Eukaryota; Fungi; Ascomycota; Leotiomycetes
Description: 5.8S ribosomal RNA
Rfam family: 5.8S ribosomal RNA
About the family: 5.8S ribosomal RNA (5.8S rRNA) is a component of the large subunit of the eukaryotic ribosome. It is transcribed by RNA polymerase I as part of the 45S precursor that also contains 18S and 28S rRNA.
Source: RNAcentral